This 534-nucleotide ribosomal RNA is filed under the name uncultured bacterium. RNAcentral's name for it is "bacterial SSU rRNA". It matches the Rfam family "Bacterial small subunit ribosomal RNA", at positions 8 to 526 of the family's 1533-position model. The record is from RNAcentral.
AGAGUUUGAUCAUGGCUCAGAAUCAACGCUGGCGGCGUGCCUAACACAUGCAAGUCGAACGCGGUUAGUAGCAAUACUAACUGAGUGGCAAACGGGUGAGUAACGCGUGGGUGACCUACCUUCGAGUGGGGGAUAACGUCCCGAAAGGGACGCUAAUACCGCAUAACAUCCUGUCCUUGAACGGAUGGAGAUCAAAGCCGGGGAUCGUAAGACCUGGCGCUUGAUGAGGGGCCCGCGUCUGAUUAGCUAGUUGGUGAGGUAACGGCCCACCAAGGCGACGAUCAGUAUCCGGCCUGAGAGGGCGGACGGACACACUGGGACUGAGACACGGCCCAGACUCCUACGGGAGGCAGCAGUGGGGAAUUGUUCACAAUGGGCGCAAGCCUGAUGACGCAACGCCGCGUGGAGGAUGAAGGUCUUCGGAUUGUAAACUCCUGUUGCUCGGGACGAAAAGCCUCGACCUAACACGUCGAGGUCUGACGGUACCGAGUGAGGAAGCCCCGGCUAACUCUGUGCCAGCAGCCGCGGUAAUAC